GACAGCUCCUGGGCUCCACCUUUUCCCUCACGCUGCCAGCACCAGGUUGGCGGCUUCUCGCUCAGCUGCCUUGGCAAGAGGGCAGGUCCAGGCUGGAGCCAGGUGUUGAGUGGCAGCAACCAGGAGGUGCUCCUGCCAGCCCUUCAUGCACUUUUUCUCACUUCUCCCUUCUUUUUGUAAAUAAUCACGCCUGCUUAGAUGCCUGGUGACUCUCAUCUUGCAGCAGGCCACACUGUUGGCCUCCAAUGAAGCCUUUAAAAAGCAGAUGGAGAGUGCUAGUGAGGCGGCCAAGAAGUACACGGAGAAUGACCAGCUCAAGAAGUGAGCUGCUGUUGACGGAGGCAAGUUGGAUGUCGGGAAUGCUGAGGUGAAGUUGGAGGAAGAGAACAGGAGCCUGAAGGCUGAGCUGCAGAAGCUAAAGGAUGAGCUGGCCAGCACUAAGCAAAAACUAGAGAAAGCUGAAAACCAGGUUCUGGCCAUGCGGAAGCAGUCUGAGGGCCUCACCAAGGAGUACGACCGCUUGCAGUAGGAGCACGCAAAGCUGCAGGCUACAGUAGUUGGUCCCAUGGACAAGAAGAAAGAGUAAGGGCCUCCUUCCUCCCUGGCCUGCAGCUGGCUUCCACCUGGCACGUGCCUGCUGCUUCCUGAGAGCCCAGCCUCUCCCUCCAGUACUUCUGUUUGUGCCCUUCACUUCCCCCAUUCCCUUCCACAGCUCAUAGCUCGUCAUCUUGGCCCUUGUCCACACUCUCCAAGCACAUUACAGGGUACCUGAUUGCUACACGUUCAGAAUGCAUUUGCUGUUAUCCUGCUUGGCCUGGCCAGGCCUGGCACAGCCCUGGCUUCCACGCCUGAGCGUGGAGGACACGAGUUAGUUGUAGUUUGGCUUGCGGUGGGGCUGACUUCCUGUUGGUUUGAGCCCUUUUUUGUUUUGCCCUCUGGGUGUUUUCUUUGGUCCCGCAGGAGGGUGGGUGGAGCAGGUGGACUGGAGUUUCUCUUGAGGGCAAUAAAAGUUGUCAUGGUGUGUAUGUGGUGCGGUGUGUGACUGUGGCCAUGGAGAGGGCUCUGCUUUCUUUCCUGCCUGGAGCCCCCAAGGGGCCACAGGCCUUCAACCUGUUUCCACCACUGAAGGCCAGGCUCACACCUGUUCUCAAAGGCCCUGCCCUCUCUGUCCUCUUGCUCCCCG
This 1183-nucleotide long non-coding RNA is filed under the name Homo sapiens (human). Its description in RNAcentral is "HSALNT0230160". The record is from RNAcentral. Lineage: Eukaryota; Metazoa; Chordata; Mammalia; Primates; Hominidae.